UGAAUCUGAGCCACAGCUGUGACCUACAUCCCAGCUGCAGCAAUGCCAAAUCCUUUAACCCAAUGCUCUGGGCUGGGGCUCAUCAAACCCAGGCUUCUGAAGCGACCUGAGCUGCUGCUGCUGGAUUCUAAGCCCACUGCACCACAGUGGGAACUCCUGGAAUUUUCUGUUAAAGCAUUACUCACGUCCCCAUAGAAUAAUAAGAAUUUACAUGAACUUUCGUGUUUCAUCUGAAGCAUGAACGUGAGCAUUCCUGUAAAUCUGUCAUUCCCAUCACUGGUUAAUCAAAAAUACAAGAUAGGGAAGUUCCCGUGUGGCUCAGUGGUAAUGAGCUCAACCAGUAUCCAUGAGGACGCGGGUUCGAUCCCUGGCCUAACUCAGUGGGUUAAGGACACAGCGUUGUGGUGAGCUGAGGGGUAAGUCUCAGACCUGGCUGGAUCCCACGUUGCUGUGGCUGUGGUGUAGGCCCGCAGUUACAGCUCUGGUCAACCCCUAGCCAGGGAACUUCCUUAUGCUGCAAGUGCAGCCCUAAAAAAAAUUACAAAAGAAUGUAUGGUCUUUUAAGGUUUCAUCCUAUGUCUAUCCCUAAAAUAGAUGAAAUUUUGCCCCUUAAAUUAGUAUCUUCAGUAAUUAUCUUUUGAAAGGUAUAUGCAGAUGCAAACAUAUAAAUUUAAAUAUAUUCAUGGUAAAUAAUGUCUUAAUUUUCAUACAUGUGCUUACUGUAUACCGAUUUAUAAAAGUACUGUGUCAAGGUACGAUUACUAUACAUAUAGAAAUAACAACAAAAGGCUCCUAGAUGUACUAGGGAUCAGAUGAGAAAGUAGUUGGUUAUUAGCAAUUUAUCUCUAUUGGUGGAAAAACAACUCAAAGUACACAUUUUAUUAGAAGUGGAGUUUUAUAAGUAUUGUCUGAAAUACCCAUGGCACCCUGACAUUUGUAUUACUUCCUCUUGUUUUCACAAUUUUGUAAGACAUGCAUUGUUCACAAAAAAAAAAAAAAAAAGGCUCAGAAAAGAUUGUCUUCAUCUGCAGAUGACAUGAUACUACGUGUAGAAAACCUUAAAGACCCCCCACAAACUGCUAGAACUGGUAAAUGAAUUCAGCGAGGUGGCAGGAUGCAAGAUUCACACAUAGACAUCAGUUGCAUUUCUUUUUUUUGCUAUUUCAGGGCCCCACCUGUGGCAUAUGGAGGUUCACAGGUUAGGGGUCGAAUCAGAGCUUCUGACCUACACCACAGCCACAGCAACUCGGGAUCCGAGCCGAGUCUGCGACCUACACCACAGCUCUGGCAAGCGGAAUCCUUAACCCACUGUCCGAGGCCAGGGAUCGAACCCACAUCCUCACGGAUCUCAGUCGGGUUCAUUAACCUCUGAGCCCCGGAGAGAACUCCCCAGUUGCAUUUCUUUACACUAACAAUGAAAUAUCAGAAAGGGAAUGCAAACAAAUAAUCCCUUUAAAAGCUGCAUCAGAAAGAUACAAUCUACAGAUGUAAUGUGACCCUAUCAUUAUUCAUGACAUUUUUCAUAGAACUAGAAAAAAUAAUUCUAAAAUUUUUAUGGAACCACGAAAGACCCAUAAAAGCAUUCCUGAGGAACAAAGCAGGAGGAAAAACCCUCCCAGCUUCAAAGACAGUAUGACAAAGCUGCAGUAAUCAGGGUGAUAUUGGCACAAAAACAGACACAUGGAUCAAUGGAAGAGAAUAGAGAGCCCGGAAAUAAACCCAGACACCUAUAGGCAAUUAAUCUUUGACUAAGGAGGCAAGAAUAUACAAGGAAAAAUACUUUUCGGCAGGUCGUGUUGCGAAGUUGGACAGCCACUUGAAAAUGAAGUUAGAACACACCCUCACGCCAUAUACACAAACUCAAAAUGGCUCGAAGACUUAAAAUAUAAGCCAGGACAUCAUAAAACUCCUAGAAGAGAACAUGGGCAAAACAUUCUCUGACAUAUAUCAUACCAGUGUUUUCUUAGGUCAGUCUCCCAAGGCAAUAAAGAUAAAAACAAAAAUAAGCAAAUGGGACCUAAUCAAAUUUACAAGCUGUUGCACAGCAAAGAGACCAUAAACAAAGCGAAAAGACAACCUACAGACUGGGAGAAAAUAGUUGCAAAUGAUGCUACCCAUAAAGGCUUAAUUUCCAAAACAGUUCAUACAAUUCCAUGACGUAAAAGCAAACACUCCAAUGGAAAAAUGGACAGAAGCAAUGAGGUCCUGCUGUAUAGCUAGGGUACUAUAUCCGGUCUCUUGGGACAGACCGGGAUGAAAGAGAAGACAGGGAAUGUAUGUAUGACUCGGUCACAGCAGAAGUUGGCACAACAUUGUAAAUCAGCUACAAUUAAAAAAAAAAAAGAAAACGAAAAAUGGGCAGAAGACCUAAAGGGACAUUUCUCCAAAUAAGAAAUACAGCUGGUUGGUUAGGAGGCACACGAAAAGACGCUUGUCAUCGCUAGUGUUAGAGAAAUACAGAUCAGCUCACACCAGUCAGAAUGGCUAUCACCAAAAAGUCUACAAAAAACAAAUGCUGGAGAGGGUGUGGGGAAAGGGAACCCUCCUACACUGUUGGUGAGGAUGUAAAUUGGUGCAGCCCCCAUGCAAAACAACAUGGAGGUUCUUCCAAACACUAAAGACAAAAAAAAAAAAAAAAAAAAAAAAAAAAAAAGAGUUCCCGUCGUGGCGCAGUGGUUAGCGAAUCCGACUAGGAAUCAUGAGGUUGCGGGUUCGGUCCCUGCCCUUGCUCAGUGGGUUAACGAUCCGGCAUUGCCGUGAGCUGUGGUGUAGGUUGCAGACGCGGCUCGGAUCCCCUGUUGCUGUGGCUCUGGCGUAGGCCGGUGGCUACAGCUCCGAUUCGACCUCUAGCCUGGGAACCUCCAUAUGCCGCGGGAGCGGCCCAAGAAAUAGCAACAACAAACAAACAAAAAAAGCUAAAUCCCAGCUUUCUCUUGAGAACAGAUUCUUUAGCAAGUUGCAUCCAUGUUCCCAUUUACACCCUGUUCUUUCAUUGAACAUGAAUCCAUGUUUGAAUCACUGGACCGCUUACGGAUGGUAAUUAUCCACUCAUAAUUGUCACAACCUCCUAUUUCGUUGGUCAUCAUCCUGUUUUAUGUUUUAGACACAGCGGUCAAGGAUAAAUGUCUAGCGCUUUAAUAUAGUUCUUUUUCUUCACAUUUGAACCCCUAGGCAAUCAACUUCAAGUCCAAUGAGCAUCUGAUCUGGGCUAAAAUUUCACAACUUUAGGCAUAUAUGAUGGGUUUUUUUUGUUUUGUUUUGUUUUGUUUUUGCCUUUGUCUAAAUUUUACUGCGAUCCCAGUUCACCCAAGAAAAAGCAGACGACAGGGUGGGGGGGGAUUAGCGUGCAGUGUCCACUGCCACCUCUCCCGUGUUCUCAUCUCUGCUGUUCUUCCGUCCGGAGAGCAUCGCCUCACGCCUCCCCUUCCUCCCUCGACUCCCCUUCGCUCAUCUUUCAGUUCACGUCCCCACUCGUCACGACUCCUACCCUUCUUGGACAUCAUAACUUAGACGUCGCUUCAUUCGGGAAGACUCCGCCCAGCUUCCCCGCAGACGGAGGGCGACUUUUUCCACAUCUUUGUUUCUUUCUGUAGGACGACGUCUCUCUCCUCCAGCACAGAAGGACCACCUCUUCACGUGGCCCCUGAUACUUUCCAAUCCUCGCAUCUCACAGCUCUCAUCCCAACAAAAGGGCCAAAUGCUGUUUUUCCUGUUUCCUCACAAACUCUUGGGUAAGGCUGCCGAGUGGUCGGGUGGGGUGAGAGGUCCCCCCUGGAAGCAGCCAUCAGCAGGAGUCACAGAGAACAACGGGGUGCCCACUACCCACCCCUCAAGAGUUGAGGGCUCUGAUGGCUAAGUUUAUGUAUUAAGUACACUACGGUGUUUAAUUAUUUAAUUAAACUCAGAUCCAGGUGUUGCUGUGAAAGCAUUUUACAGGUGUGGUGAACCUCUGCAAUCAGAAUUGAUUUUAACUAAAAGAGGUUUUUUUUGUUU
This 3993-nucleotide long non-coding RNA is filed under the name Sus scrofa (pig). RNAcentral describes it as "lncRNA (ENSSSCG00050076794.1)". The record is from RNAcentral. Lineage: Eukaryota; Metazoa; Chordata; Mammalia; Artiodactyla; Suidae.